RNAcentral lists this transfer RNA (73 nucleotides) under Stegodyphus mimosarum. It matches the Rfam family "tRNA". Rfam says of the family: Transfer RNA (tRNA) molecules are approximately 80 nucleotides in length. Their secondary structure includes four short double-helical elements and three loops (D, anti-codon, and T loops). The record is from Rfam by way of RNAcentral. Lineage: Eukaryota; Metazoa; Arthropoda; Arachnida; Araneae; Eresidae.
GCCUUCGUAGUGUAAUGGUCAGCAUACUCGGCGCAUAUUCGAGAGGUCCGUGGUUCAAAUCCUGGCAAGGCCU